UAGAGGAAGUAAAAGUCGUAACAAGGUCUCCGUUGGUGAACCAGCGGAGGGAUCAUUACUGAGUUUACGCUCUACAACCCUUUGUGAACAUACCUAUAACUGUUGCUUCGGCGGGUAGGGUCUCCGUGACCCUCCCGGCCUCCCGCCCCCGGGCGGGUCGGCGCCCGCCGGAGGAUAACCAAACUCUGAUUUAACGACGUUUCUUCUGAGUGGUACAAGCAAAUAAUCAAAACUUUUAACAACGGAUCUCUUGGUUCUGGCAUCGAUGAAGAACGCAGCGAAAUGCGAUAAGUAAUGUGAAUUGCAGAAUUCAGUGAAUCAUCGAAUCUUUGAACGCACAUUGCGCCCGCCAGCAUUCUGGCGGGCAUGCCUGUUCGAGCGUCAUUUCAACCCUCAAGCUCUGCUUGGUGUUGGGGCCCUACGGCUGACGUAGGCCCUCAAAGGUAGUGGCGGACCCUCCCGGAGCCUCCUUUGCGUAGUAACUUUACGUCUCGCACUGGGAUCCGGAGGGACUCUUGCCGUAAAACCCCCAAUUUUCCAAAGGUGACCUCGGAUCAGGUAGGAAUACCCGCU
RNAcentral lists this ribosomal RNA (573 nucleotides) under Colletotrichum boninense. RNAcentral's name for it is "eukaryotic LSU rRNA". The stretch from base 231 to 384 matches the Rfam family "5.8S ribosomal RNA". Lineage: Eukaryota; Fungi; Ascomycota; Sordariomycetes; Glomerellales; Glomerellaceae. The record is from RNAcentral.